RNAcentral lists this long non-coding RNA (1194 nucleotides) under Bemisia tabaci. Its description in RNAcentral is "lncRNA ENSASIAIIG007218". The record is from RNAcentral. Lineage: Eukaryota; Metazoa; Arthropoda; Insecta; Hemiptera; Aleyrodidae.
UUUUUGGGUUAUGUUCUGGUAUUUAGCCGCAGAACUUGCGCUGAAAAAUUACAGUUGCGCGAUUUUAAAUUACGCGGUACUUUUUUGGCGGGAAACUUUCUGCGUUCAAACACCGAUGGAAGUUGAGUGGUUUGUUUACGUGCUUCGUGUUUACCAGGUGUUUACAAAGUUUUCAGGUUAUGUUGACAACUGAAACUCGUGGAAUCUGCAAAGUGCAAAGUUGGAAGCUCCGUGUAAAUUCCUUUUGAAGCAAGUUCGUGCAAGUUUGCGAUUGUGUCGUGUCCCAUUUAUUUAUACAGGGUCCUCGUUUCAAUUUGCGAAUGUUCUCAGUUGUCUGGAAGAGUUGAAAUUACCACAAGCUUCGCUCAGUAUCCAGUCAGAAAUUCAGGAUGUCCGGUAAAGAGGACACUCCAGCACCUGAAAACAAGCACGUGCAUAGGUUGCCCUCCUUUCGCUCUGCAAGAGAUCUGAACCUAGACAAAUACAAACUUCCGACUGCCAAACCCAACGCCAAAAAAUAUGUUCCAAACCUGAACGUCACAAGAAAAAAGCAAGAUGACGAAAAAGGCGGGACAAGUUCAACAUCUAAAGAAAAUGAUAAGAAACAGAAUGGUCUACCUCAGCGUGGUCGAGGUCGGGGCAGGGGUAGAGGAGCUAGCAAUCUUGUUCAGACCAAGUCAAUUUUUUCGGAAGGAAUGGGUGACAGAAAAGGUGCCAAGUACAUGAAACCAUGUGAUGUAGAAUCUGUUCCUAGAACAUCAACCGUAACAAAAUCUAGUUUUUCUCAGGGUCAUAGCAGAGGUUCCAGAGAUAGAUCUUCAGGCACUUCAAAAUCAAGGAAAGAGCAUGGUGAAAGAUUGCCAGAUGAUGAUUUUAUCGAUGACGUAGAUGAAGGUGGCUAUGAAUAUUCCUUCAUGAAGCCUGUUAGCUUACCAUUACGAUUAUCUGAAAAUUAUGCCUUAGAAGAUAUCUGUGAUGAUGAAGAAAUAGCUCCAGGUGUUAAAAUUAAAGCUGAACCCGGUACUCCAAAAGUUAAAGUUAAAUCUGAAAAUAAACCAAGGAAAGAAUUUACCAAUGUUAAAGAACUUUUAUCCGAUUCAAAACCUCAAUUGUUAUUUUUGCAGGUCUGUACUCCAGCCUAUUACUUUUUAGUAUGCUUAAUUUUGUUUCAUCUCCCCAUAUUUUAUACCCUCA